Non-coding RNA from Camelina sativa (false flax), 2569 nucleotides. Lineage: Eukaryota; Viridiplantae; Streptophyta; Magnoliopsida; Brassicales; Brassicaceae. The record is from RefSeq and is a predicted model, not a curated record.
CUCGUCCGUCUUUCAGGUGGCGAAAGAGAAAAAAAAAAAAAAAGAGAGAAGAGUUAGGGUUUGAUUUGAUUGAGUUACGGCGGCGACUAACUAGGUUAGGGUAUUGAACAAAUCAGAGUCUUUCUUUUUUCGACUCAUUCAACACGGUCCUCCUAAAGGUUAUUGGAACUCAUUCAACACGGUCUUCGUCCCCGAGCUUUAAGUUCUUCGCCCCACACACAACAGAAAUUAGGGGAGGAGUAAAAGAUGCACACUAUAUGCAGGACGCAGCAACAACAACGAUGGAAUGUAAAAUUUAUAUCCUUUUUUUCUUAAUCUCUGUUAACUUGUGUGUGUGGUAAAAUUAAUCUCAGAACCGUGGACAAGACCACUCAUUAUGCCCUCCUGUAAGUAUAAUUCCCGAUACUUAAAUUUGCUUCUGGAAAUUCAUCAUAGAGCGGUGGAUUCGAGGAGGCUGCUAGCAGCAUAUCAAACUCAGUGGCCAAGGUUGUACAUGAUGAGCUAGUGAAGUUGUGAUGGCUGCUCGAGAAGUAUCUGAGCUACGCUUUGGUAAACCAGGUCUUAAAGCCCUAGAAGACCUUUUCCUAAACAAUUAGACUUGGUGAUAUUAUGUUUUCAUGGAUGUUUGAUGAGAUUCAUGCCUUGAAGCAAUUUAAAGUUGCCGCUGAUCUCUUGGCCAAGAAAGAUGAUUUACCUCCACUAUAUGAUAGUUGCUACAUUAAAAAUAAUAAGGUGCGUGUUGUGUUGGCCAUGGAAGAUACAUAACACAAGGAGCCAAGUGAAGGGCCCACAGCUGAUGUUUGUUCUGUUUACUGGUGGACUCAGGAAAGAAGCUGCUUGCAGAGCCAAACUCAAAGGCUAAGGCCCGUGAUUAGAGUUCCUUGUACUCAGAGCUGAAGUCAACGGUGCUCUUCUCCAUCGAGACAUGUAUGUAUGAAGCCAGAACUUAGGAGAGAUUGUGUCUGCUACAUGUCGUUUUUCACACCUUCUUGCUUCCUCUACCCGCAAUCCAGCUUCUAUCUUUCUCCUCCACGCUGAGACGAGAGCUAUGGAGUUUGGUGAAACCGAAGAGUGUUGUUGGCCAUGGAGGAUACAUAUAUCAGAUGGACCCAAGUGAAUAGCCCAGAUGUUUCUUCUGUUGACUGAAGUGUGGCUCAUCACUGCUAUGUUGCAGAUUGUACAUGAUGAUGAGCUUGAAAUUGUGAUGGCUAGUGGAUUCGAGGAAGGAGGCUGCGUGCAGAUAGUUAUAAUGCCUUGUAGGCACCGUGGAUCAUCCCAAAACUAGUAGGAGAUGUCACAUGUCCUCCAAAAGAUGGUCCACAACGUUGCAGCAGCUUCCUGCUCUUAUCAAGCUGCAUCUUUCGUGGCCAAUGUUGAUGAGUGGAAGUGGAAGUUAGGCGUUCUGUUGGCCAAUGAUAGCCAACAAGAAAUUGUUUCCAGAGACAAAAGGGAUCGAUGGGAUUAUGAGCAAAUUUCAAAUCUUGCCAAGAGAAUGGGACUGUACAGUGAGAUUUGUGGGAAGUGGUUGUCGCAAGCGAGGUUUCCUCUACCCAAUUACCCGCCAGAUUAGGAUGACAAUCGACCACAACGAGAGGUGGUACUUCCUUUGAGUUAGCAAAGAAUGGUUCCUGCAGAACACCUUGUGUUACUUUCUCUUAGAAGUAGUUGGUAUUUGAUAAUAUUUGAUCUCACUUCACUUCACUUCACUUCUUCUGAUUCUUUGGCUCCCAUCAUCUUCUCCAUGGCAACAUUUGAAGGCUGGAAUGUUUCUUGAAGGUAUGUGUGGAGCCUGGAUGGCUACCAACUCUCGUGUUAGCUAAAUCGUGCCAAAAGCAUGGCCAACUUGUUUUCGUAGCAUAUUGGAGCUCAAAAUCGGACGUGGAGUUAUUGAAUAUGAUGUAGCUUCUGGAAAGAUUAUCAUAGAACCGUGGACAACACUUAUGCCCUUCAGUUGCAGUCCAAAAGAUGUGGAGUAAUUGAAUAUGAUGCAGCUUUAGGAAAGUUUAUCAUAGAACCGUGGAAAAAACUUAUGCCCUCACCUGUGGAUCAUCUCAAAACCAGUUGGAGAUGUUAUGUUAGUCCUCCAAAAGCUUCCAGGUCUCUGUGUGUCAAAUGUAAAUGGAAUUUUCGGUGGUGGUUUACUCGCUGCUGGAUUAUAUUGUUGUAUUGUUACAGAAUGAGGGGUGAUGCAUACUAUAUGACGCAGCAACAACAACGAUGGAAUGGAAGAUUUAUAUCCUUUUUCUUAAUCUCUCGUGUGUAACGUUAUCACAGAACCGUGGACAAACACACCUAUCCCCUGUAAGUAUAAUUCCCGAUACUUGAAUUGCAUCUUCUCUGCACCAGUUGGAAAUGUUACAUGUCCUCCAAAAGGUGAAACCUCUUUUGUCUCCACAGACAGAAAUCGGGGAUGAUGCACUAUAUGACGCAACAACAACAACGAUGAAAUGGAAACUUAAUAUUCUUUUUCUUGAUCUCUUAUGUCCAAAUUGAAGUGUACGAGUGAAAGUACUAUAUAUUUCUCAGUUCCGAUUUUAUAUGCAUCACGUUUCUGUUUCAGCUCCAUUGG